Molecule: unclassified non-coding RNA, 462 nt
Filed under: Hevea brasiliensis (rubber tree)
Lineage: Eukaryota; Viridiplantae; Streptophyta; Magnoliopsida; Malpighiales; Euphorbiaceae
Source: RNAcentral
GCAAAGGCGUUGGCUGGACAAAAAGACGAGGCAUUCUUCUCUGCUAAUGCUGCAGCUCGUACGUCCAGAAAAUCCUCUCCCAGAGUGACCAACGGGGCUGUGCAGAAGGCUGCUGCUGCGUUGAAGGGCUCUGAUCAUCGCAGAGCGACAACUGUAAGUGCGAGGUUGGAAGCUCAACAGAAGAAGCUGAGUCUUCCAUCUCUUCCAACCACUACCAUCGGUUCUUUCCCUCAGACAUUGGAGCUUAGAAAAGUUCGACGAGAGUACAAGGCUAACAAGAUCUCGGAGGAAGAUUAUGUCAAAUAUAUUACGGAGGAAAUCAGCAAAGUAGUCAAACUCCAGGAGGAUCUAGACAUUGAUGUUCUUGUGCACGGAGAGCCAGAGAGAAACGAUAUGGUCGAGUAUUUUGGGGAGCAAUUAUCUGGUUUUGCUUUUACAGCCAAUGGAUGGGUUCAAUCUUAU